UACGGAGGAUGCGAGCGUUAUCCGGAUUUAUUGGGUUUAAAGGGUGCGCAGGCGGAUUUUUAAGUCAGCGGUCAAAUCGUGGGGCUCAACCCCAUCCAGCCGUUGAAACUGGGGAUCUAGAGUGUGCGAGAGGUAUGCGGAAUGCGUGGUGUAGCGGUGAAAUGCAUAGAUAUCACGCAGAACCCCGAUUGCGAAGGCAGCAUACCAGUGCACAACUGACGCUCAGGCACGAAAGCGUGGGUAUCGAACAGG
This 252-nucleotide ribosomal RNA is filed under the name uncultured bacterium. Its description in RNAcentral is "partial 16S ribosomal RNA". It matches the Rfam family "Bacterial small subunit ribosomal RNA", at positions 524 to 776 of the family's 1533-position model. The record is from RNAcentral.